AGAGCAGUGGGAAGGGGAAAGGUUUUCCUGGUGGCAUUUUUCGGCAGAGAGAAUAUGUUAUCUUGCCUGCUUCUUGGGAACCGUGGAUCCUUCAUCAGUGACCUGGAAUGGUUGCUAAGUGUGAAGCAGAGAGCAGUUCUGACAGCCUUCUUUAAGCACAGGAUAUCCAUUGCUCUCAUGCGAAAAAGAAGCCUCCCAGAAAAGACUGCAUUGGGCAUUGACAGCUCUUUCACACGUUGUACUGUUAUUUCUGAAACCCGAUCACGAGUUGUACUAUCUAGGUAAUACACGCCUUUUGGACAUUUCUUAGUAAAGAUGCCCAAAUGAGAGACCCUACUGAUGAAAGCACUUCCUUCAGGGACCUUCAAUAGCUCGAUAUAUAUUUAGGGAAAUACAAAAGGAGAGGAGCGUGUAUUUUUGGGAUUGGGAAAAUACACAUUUUCCAUUGGACUAAACUGUCAACUCAUCAAUAUUUUAGAAUGGGUCAUGACCUGCAUAAAAGAAAAAAAAAACAAACCUGUUUUGACUUUCUUGGCAGCCCCAAUCCUAAUUUGGUGGAAGUGGCUUUGUGCCUGGAUUUGAAAGCCACAGUCCCAGCCUUCUAUGCACUCAGCAAUGGCCGUAGAGCACACAUCUGGCCAAUGGUAUCUAAGAGGAAGUUACUUAAAGCUACUUAAAAUAGGACAGAAGCAGCUGAAGGGCACACGUUUUGUUCUCAUGCAUUUUCCUCUAGUAGCUGGAAUCAACUAGUAAUUUUGCAGUAGGAAAAAAUGAAAAGAUUCAUAGAUCCGGCAAUAAUGGUUUUAACAUGAGCCAUCCUUCCCUCAUCCUCCACAUUAACCCUCCAAUUUGCAGUUCCCUGAUUUGCGCAGCCAAAUGGAAUACCUAACGGAAAUAGAAUAUGGUAUCAGAACUGGCAGGGGGUGUAGCGAGGAAAGGAUGCUUCAAGUAAUAGAACCAAAAAUGUUUAAUUUGCUUAAUGGAAGGGGUGGGAAAGUGAGGGCAGUAUUGCAGGAGGUAAAGCUGGUUCAUCCAUAUGCAACAGGGCAAAACAGUUUUUCAGACUCUAGAAACACUGUCUACUGACUCCUAAGUAAUAGAGAAUGUUGGCAUGCGUUGGACCCUUCUUAUUGCUUUUAGCAAAGCCUUAAGGGAGCAAUGAACUGAUUCAGAGACACACAGUCUACAAACAUGUGGAAGAAAAUACAGCACUGAUAAGAGGAGUGCUUCUUCCAAGACCAUCAAUCUAAGUUGACUGAGAAUCUCAAAAAUUGGAGCCAUUCGAUAGUUAAGAUAUAUGUUUGCUACUGGAAAAGAAACUCAAAAUACAAUGUGAAAGAAAAACAGAAGCUCAGUUCUCUCUCCUGUAACAGUCUUGAGUAUAAGCAGGAAAGCUGUAAAGUGUGUGGCUCCAUGCUGCCUUUCUAUCUUACUGCUCCUGAAUCUCCUUGUUGCAGUAAUCCAAGAUUACUCUCCACUAUUCAGGCAUUUCAGGAGGCAGGAAGGGGAAAAGAGGGAAAGAGAGGGCAUUCUCUUCCUUCUAAAGACAUACUCUGGAAGUUGCACCUGUUAUUUCUGCAUAUAACUUAUCGGAAAGAAUUUAGUUAUAUGUCCACCCCCAAGCACAAGGACUUUAAUCUGGUCUACCAUGUGCUCAGCUAAAAGCCACGGGUUCCACGUUGCUGGAAAGGGGAAAGAACCGAUACUGCCUUUCUUGGGGUUGAACAGCUAACUUCUCCUCUCCCUCAAGCAGAAAGCAUUGUAAACUAAAGAGUGUACAUCUGUCUUCCUCUUCUUGCCUCCUUCUGAAAAUCCAGCUUUGAAAAGCAGCCUACACCAAUCUCACAUUUUUCAUAUUCCACAUUAGAAAAGUGAUGUAGCUUUAAUAAGAUAGCAAUACUUUAUAUUUUGUUCUUCCAUCAGGCCAAAGGGUUAUGAUGUUAGAAUGUUCUUUGGCAAUUCCAAAUAGGAAAAACAAAAUCUCAAAAAACUUUUGAAGAUAUCUAGUGUAGUGGAAAUGUCUCAAGAUUUAGUUCUAAUUAGCCUCUGAAAUUGUGUUCCUGCCAACUCUGUUGCAUUGACUAAGUUCAGAUCAGGCAUCCUGGGACAUUUCAUUCCGUUUUGAACGAGGCGCAUUGCUAAUUCUCUAAUCAAUGAACGGACACUCCAUUUGUCAAACAGCAUAAUUGCCAUUAAAUGAAUAUAAUUCAUAGCUAAUUGUUAAAAAGAAGUAAUUUGCUGUGACUUGAACAGAUUUUAAUUGUAUUCCUUGACUUAUGGGAACAUCUUAUUAAAUAGUGGAAAAAUCUUUUUAAAAAUCUGUAUUUUGGAGCAAAGGUGGUGAUAUCUUUUUAAGAUCACACAUGGGAUGAAUUAAUCGAUUCAAACAUUAUGUGAACAAAUAUGCUGCUACAAGAAUGUUCAUUGAAGCAUUAUUUAAAAUACCAAAAAAAUUUCAAGCAAUAUGCAUAUCCAUCUACAGAGGCAUAGUUACAGAAAAUACAGUUUAUCUAUGCUAAAAACCAAAAAAACUUAUUCAACGCUUAAAAUAAGGAGACAGAUCCAAGUGGAAAGAUAUCCAACACACAACAUUAAGAUUUAAAAAACUAUAAAGCGAUAUGUAUGGUUCAAGUACAUUAGCUGACAGAGCAAAUCAGAAAGCAGUUACAUACAUAUAACUGUAUAUGCAUGGAGGUUUCUGGAAGCAUAUGCAUGUAUUAAUAUUACAACUAAAUAGUGGACUAGUUGUCCUGGUAUGAGAAAUGGCAGAUUCUUAGUUUUUACUUUAUAAACCUUCUGUAUUUGUUGAACUUUUAACUUUAAAUUUGCAUUCGUUUUGCAUUUUAAAAAGUUAUUAAAACCUAUAAAAA
This 2870-nucleotide long non-coding RNA is filed under the name Sus scrofa (pig). Its description in RNAcentral is "lncRNA (ENSSSCG00030039986.1)". The record is from RNAcentral. Lineage: Eukaryota; Metazoa; Chordata; Mammalia; Artiodactyla; Suidae.